This is a long non-coding RNA of Elephantulus edwardii (Cape elephant shrew), 553 nucleotides long. RefSeq lists it as uncharacterized. The record is from RefSeq and is a predicted model, not a curated record. Lineage: Eukaryota; Metazoa; Chordata; Mammalia; Macroscelidea; Macroscelididae. The transcript has 5 exons.
AUGCCGAACUUCUGUGCUGCCCCCAACUGCACGCGGAAGAGCACGCAGUCCGACCUGGCCUUCUUCAGGUUCCCGCGGGAUCCGGCCAGAUGCCAGAAGUGGGUGGAGAAUUGUAGGAGAGCUGACUUAGAAGAUAAAACACCCGAUCAGCUUAAUAAACAUUAUCGGUUAUGUGCCAAACACUUUGAGACCUCUAUGAUCUGUAGAACUAGUCCUUAUCGGACAGUUCUUCGAGAUAAUGCUAUACCAACAAUAUUUGAUCUUACCAGUCAUCUGAACAAUCCACAUAGUAGACACAGAAAACGAAUAAAAGAAUUGAGUGAAGAUGAAAUCAGGACACUGAAACAGAAAAAAAUUGAUGAAACUUCUGAACAACAGCAAACACAUAAAGAAACAAACAACAGCAAUGUUCAGAACCUCAGUGCAAAAGAAGGUGGUGAAGAACAGGAUGAAGACAUUUUGCCUUUAACUCUUGAAGAAAAGGAAAACAAAGAAUACCUAAAAUCUUUAUUUGAAAUUUUGAUUCUUAUGGGAAAGCAGAACAUACCUCUGG